This 928-nucleotide ribosomal RNA is filed under the name Acinetobacter calcoaceticus. RNAcentral's name for it is "bacterial SSU rRNA". It matches the Rfam family "Bacterial small subunit ribosomal RNA", at positions 34 to 957 of the family's 1533-position model. Lineage: Bacteria; Pseudomonadati; Pseudomonadota; Gammaproteobacteria; Moraxellales; Moraxellaceae. The record is from RNAcentral.
CGCCAUGGGGGCUGCUUACACAUGCAGUCGAGCGGAGAGAGGUAGCUUGCUACUGAUCUUAGCGGCGGACGGGUGAGUAAUGCUUAGGAAUCUGCCUAUUAGUGGGGGACAACAUUUCGAAAGGAAUGCUAAUACCGCAUACGUCCUACGGGAGAAAGCAGGGGAUCUUCGGACCUUGCGCUAAUAGAUGAGCCUAAGUCGGAUUAGCUAGUUGGUGGGGUAAAGGCCUACCAAGGCGACGAUCUGUAGCGGGUCUGAGAGGAUGAUCCGCCACACUGGGACUGAGACACGGCCCAGACUCCUACGGGAGGCAGCAGUGGGGAAUAUUGGACAAUGGGCGCAAGCCUGAUCCAGCCAUGCCGCGUGUGUGAAGAAGGCCUUAUGGUUGUAAAGCACUUUAAGCGAGGAGGAGGCUACUUUAGUUAAUACCUAGAGAUAGUGGACGUUACUCGCAGAAUAAGCACCGGCUAACUCUGUGCCAGCAGCCGCGGUAAUACAGAGGGUGCAAGCGUUAAUCGGAUUUACUGGGCGUAAAGCGCGCGUAGGCGGCUAAUUAAGUCAAAUGUGAAAUCCCCGAGCUUAACUUGGGAAUUGCAUUCGAUACUGGUUAGCUAGAGUGUGGGAGAGGAUGGUAGAAUUCCAGGUGUAGCGGUGAAAUGCGUAGAGAUCUGGAGGAAUACCGAUGGCGAAGGCAGCCAUCUGGCCUAACACUGACGCUGAGGUGCGAAAGCAUGGGGAGCAAACAGGAUUAGAUACCCUGGUAGUCCAUGCCGUAAACGAUGUCUACUAGCCGUUGGGGCCUUUGAGGCUUUAGUGGCGCAGCUAACGCGAUAAGUAGACCGCCUGGGGAGUACGGUCGCAAGACUAAAACUCAAAUGAAUUGACGGGGGCCCGCACAAGCGGUGGAGCAUGUGGUUUAAUUCGAUGC